ACCAGCACGAACCAGACAUUGGAGCGUAGUCAAGCUGAUAUUUGCCACGGUACCGAAUAACAAACUUCCUAAUAGUUUCUAUGAGUUCUAACCAUAGAUUAGAGGCUUCAUGCGCGCGAUCGGUCAAGGUGUGCUUAUAGUUGAACUAGGGAUGAUAGACAAGUUAACAAAUAAAAAAUAUUCGUGUUUGUUGAAACAGUUGAAAAAAAAAGUGUUACUACUGCGCAUUACUAGUCCUUAGUAAGGCGCCAACAACACAAAUUAUUCAUACGUGUUGCGUAAUCAUUGUUAAAUGGUCCCUGAAUAUGUGUAUGCGUGUGGUUUUUCAAAAGAACUUUAACAAGAAGAACACAGCGAGAUAGAAGAACGUACAGAGGACCUUCUUGUGAUACCCGAAGAGCGUGUUUGUCGCUUUGUCUGUGCGUCUUAAUGAGACAGGUUCUACUGUUCUCAGAUUAACAAAACUGAUCGCCAUCCUCGGGCUGCAAAUACAAGUGUAUUACUGAUUGUGUUGUUAGUUACCAGGCAGUACAAUCGCGUAUCAUUGGCUAGUAGGCUCAUAUGACAGAAUUAGAGUCGGAGCUGUCAAUAUUUCUAUGGAACUAUGACCGAAAGAGAUGUGAUUUUGCAUACUGCUACAAUGCGUUGGCCGUCACUAAUGUUUGUGGUCAUAUUUACAGUGCUGAGAUCAUUACAGCCAACAGCAUAAAGUUUUACGUAGAGUGAGCAUCGAACGUUUACGUGUUUUUUUUGGGAGUCGAAAAGCUGAAAAGUUGCGCGUGAAUAUUCUAUGUCUAAAGACGCGACAUGUAUCAAGCCCUCUUAUUGAAUAAUGAGCCAAGUUCACUACAUUUUUCCUCCCCUCGAAGACAGAGUAAGACAAUGUCCCGGCAGAAGGACUUCAAUAAAGGCACUCUAUUAGCCUUAUCACUCAGAAGAUAUCAAGAUGUCAAUUUAAAAUGUUUGACGCUUCGUUGAACUGCUGUUCUUCGUGGAAAUCGAUAGAGUAAUUAGCGAUUUACAGGAUUUGUUCCAUAAGAGAAGAUUCAAAAGAGGCAGAUGGACAUUUGACAAAAUGCCUUAGAAAUGUGUCAAAAUAAUUAGAAAAAGCUUCGCCGGUGCGGACGCAUCAGCUGAUCGAUUUUUCCGCAGGUAAUUUUCUUCCGAAACCAGCACUUGACACGACACAGAUGCGACUGAACGAUCACGGCAACCGAUGGUAUUGGACCAUUGAUGUCAAGAGGGCAUGGAUAAUGGCCAACGACAUUAACUACCUUGGCAGACCGUUUUUGAGGUUGUUUCGAGGAUAGCGCGAAUAUUCGUCUGCAGCUAGGCGAGGACGAAAGAUAAGCCUCGAAUGGGAGACAUUUACGUUCAAUCAGGCCCACUAGUCUAAUGUUCGAUCCAUUCGAUCGUCGAGCAAUUAACUUUUCAUAGAUCGGUUUGACCCGAUCAUUACGAAUGGUCUUCAGUAGAUUGAUAAGAGUACUCUUUAUUCGGCCAGGGAGCAUCAUCAGACCCAACUCGCGGCGUAGCAGAGAUCGACUAUGCUGGAUCGGUACAAUGCGCGUGUGACAACGUACUUAUGAAUAGACAUUGUUUUAUCUAGUCAACUUAUGCGUCUAAACUUAGAGCAGGAGAUCCUCAUUUAGCAAACCGCAUGAGGAAUACCCGAUUACAAAGUUAUUAUGCAACAUAAUAACUCUGUGUCGGGUACCGGCAACAGCCAUGAAUAUGGAAAGAAAUAGGGAGUGGGAGAUGACAAAAAGAUCAUCUUUGCGGCGAUGCCGGACGCUACAUAUGAACUCAAGGCGUUUCGCGGGACUAAGUGAUUCGCCAGGAACGGCAGCGCAUCAGGACAUCCGGUGGGCGCUUUCUGGACGGAACCUCGUAGACUUUCAAGGACACCUCGGUUCCCGGAAUUUGUCUGUGCCGAAGGUAGCAUAUGACCCUUCACAUCUGCAACUAUAUUCCGGCUGAAUGUGGUUUAGUAGGCUGCAGCCUCGGUCUAGACCUUGCUCAGGAUGUGUGGAUGGAAAAUACUGUGAAUUGGA
Molecule: long non-coding RNA, 2054 nt
Filed under: Varroa destructor (honeybee mite)
Lineage: Eukaryota; Metazoa; Arthropoda; Arachnida; Mesostigmata; Varroidae
Description: uncharacterized LOC111250147
Source: RNAcentral